RNAcentral lists this ribosomal RNA (496 nucleotides) under uncultured bacterium. RNAcentral describes it as "bacterial SSU rRNA". It matches the Rfam family "Bacterial small subunit ribosomal RNA", at positions 903 to 1397 of the family's 1533-position model. The record is from RNAcentral.
AAAUGAAUUGACGGGGACCCGCACAAGCAGCGGAGCAUGUGGUUUAAUUCGAUGCAACGCGAAGAACCUUACCAGGGCUUGACAUCCUUCAGCCAGGGCUAGAGAUAGCCCCUUCCCUUCGGGGACUGAGGAGACAGGUGGUGCAUGGUUGUCGUCAGCUCGUGUCGUGAGAUGUUGGGUUAAGUCCCGCAACGAGCGCAACCCUUGUCUUUAGUUGCAAACAGCUAGGCUGUGCACUCUAAAGAGACUGCCGAUGACAAAUCGGAGGAAGGUGGGGAUGACGUCAAAUCAUCAUGCCCUUUAUGUCCUGGGCUACACACGUGCUACAAUGGUCGGUACAACGGGAAGCGACCUCGUGAGAGUGAGCAAAUCCUAUAAAGCCGAUCCCAGUUCGGAUUGUAGGCUGCAAUUCGCCUACAUGAAGCCGGAGUUGCUAGUAAUCGCGGAUCAGCAUGCCGUGGUGAAUGCGUUCCCGGGUCUUGUACACACCGCCCGU